This 406-nucleotide ribosomal RNA is filed under the name uncultured bacterium. RNAcentral describes it as "partial 16S ribosomal RNA". It matches the Rfam family "Bacterial small subunit ribosomal RNA", at positions 30 to 526 of the family's 1533-position model. The record is from RNAcentral.
AUUGAACGCUGGCGGCAGGCCUAACACAUGCAAGUCGAACGAGUUGCGGACGGGUGUGUAAUGUCUGGGAAUAUGCCCGAUGGAGGGGGAUAAUUACUGGAAACGGAAGCUAAUACCGCAUACCAUCGGAUGUGCCCAGAUGGGAUUGGCUAGUAGGUGGGGUAACGGCUCACGUAGGCGACGAGCCCUAGCUGGUCUGAGAGGAUGACCAGCCACACUGGAACUGAGACACGGUCCAGACUCCUACGGGAGGCAGCAGUGGGGAAUAUUGCGCAAUGGGCGCAAGCCUGAUACAGCAAUGCCGCGUGUGUGAAGAAGGCCUUCGGGUUGGAAAGUACUUUCAGCGAGGAGGCGUUACUCGCAGAGGAAGCAUCGGCUAACUCCGUGCCAGCCGCCGCGGUAAUUC